UACGGAGGGGGCGAGCGUUGUUCGGAAUUAUUGGGCGUAAAGAGCGCGCAGGCGGUCGUUCAAGUCGAGUGUGAAAGCCCCCGGCUCAACUGGGGAGGGUCACUCGAUACUGAUCGACUUGAAGGCAGGAGAGGGAAGCGGAAUUCCCGGUGUAGUGGUGAAAUGCGUAGAUAUCGGGAGGAACACCAGUGGCGAAGGCGGCUUCCUGGCCUGUUCUUGACGCUGAGGCGCGAAAGCUAGGGGAGCAAACGGG
This 253-nucleotide ribosomal RNA is filed under the name uncultured bacterium. RNAcentral describes it as "partial 16S ribosomal RNA". It matches the Rfam family "Bacterial small subunit ribosomal RNA", at positions 524 to 776 of the family's 1533-position model. The record is from RNAcentral.